This is a non-coding RNA of Xenopus tropicalis (tropical clawed frog), 82 nucleotides long. NCBI's taxonomy places the organism in Eukaryota, Metazoa, Chordata, Amphibia, Anura, Pipidae. The record is from Rfam.
GCUGUGAUGGCCGAGUGGUUAAGGCGUUGGAUUUGAAAUCCAAUGGGGUUACCCUGCACAGGUUCGAAUCCUGUUCCCAGUG